GUUAAUGUAGCUUAAACUUAAAGCGAAGCACUGAAAAUGCUAAGAUGGGUAUUUAUACCCCAUAAACA
RNAcentral lists this transfer RNA (68 nucleotides) under Syntheosciurus brochus (Bangs's mountain squirrel). RNAcentral's name for it is "tRNA-Phe". It matches the Rfam family "tRNA". From Rfam's summary of the family: Transfer RNA (tRNA) molecules are approximately 80 nucleotides in length. Their secondary structure includes four short double-helical elements and three loops (D, anti-codon, and T loops). The record is from RNAcentral. Lineage: Eukaryota; Metazoa; Chordata; Mammalia; Rodentia; Sciuridae.